Molecule: transfer RNA, 67 nt
Filed under: Eristalinus tabanoides
Lineage: Eukaryota; Metazoa; Arthropoda; Insecta; Diptera; Syrphidae
Also listed under: 2 other names
Description: tRNA-Pro
Source: RNAcentral
CAAGAAAUAGUUUAAUUUAAAAUAUUAAUUUUGGAGAUUAAUGAUAAAGAUAUUUCUUUUUUCUUGA